Molecule: long non-coding RNA, 1566 nt
Filed under: Canis lupus familiaris (dog)
Lineage: Eukaryota; Metazoa; Chordata; Mammalia; Carnivora; Canidae
Description: lncRNA (ENSCAFG00040016967.1)
Source: RNAcentral
AUGCAAAAACGGCUUUCGGCUCUUACCUUCCCACGCCCACCUCUCUCCGCCCCUUCCAAGCGCCCGGGAACCUUCCUAAGGCUGCCCCUCCCCUCCCUCGGGCGGGGCCAACGCCGAGGAACCCGGAUUCUCAUCCCUCCCUCCCCCCACCCCGGACCUCCAUCCCCCGCCCGCUCCGGGGAGUGGGAGCCGCCGACGCUGGGGGAGGGGCUGUGGCCUGCCCCGGGGACUAGGGUGCUGCUUUACAGCAGAGGUGGCCCGGGGCCCAGUCAGACCGUGCAACCCCGCGCGAGCGUCCCAACUCCCGUGCUCUGUCCCUCCGGCGCGCGGCCUCCGCCAGAUUGCAGUUCUGCCUUUCAAUAUUACAUGGUAUCAGGAGUGGGAUUCAAAGUGACCAGCAGUCAUCUCCAGCACUUGCUGCCAUCUCCAGCACUGCCAUGGAUUUGAGUAAGGUAUUGCAAGACUGGCUUUGGGUCAUGGCAGUUAAGUCCUCUCGGCCUAUAGUUGGGUGUUCUGUCUUGCUGGCUUCUGUCCUCACAUUCAAGGAGAGGAUUCUGUCUUCAUGUUUCCUAGUGGAAGAUUCUAGUUUUAGUAGCCUUCUGAGUACUAAUUCUUGGGAAACUCUGCUUCUAAGAAGGGUUCUUAUGUGCCAACAUCUUCUGGGACUCCUACAGUUUUCUGUUUAAAGAAUAUGGUCCUUCCUGCUGUAAAUUUUUGCCCUGUUGGACUCCUAUUACCUGGGAUGAAUGAAAACUCCACUGGCUAUGAUGGGGCAAAAAUCAGUUCACUUCUGUGCACAAUUGGAAAAAAGGCUGUAAAACCAAACAAAGCCAGUGGAAAGCUUCUUUUAAUCGGUAUCUUAGAGGCCUCAAAAAAAAAAAAAAAAAACUGAGAAGUUUGCUUACCUUUAGCCAGUUAGCUUCCUAAAGUUUUGAGUUAGGGACGCCUGGGUGGCUCAGUGGUUGAGUGCCUGCCUUUGGCUCAGGGCAGGAUCCUAGGGUCCAGGAUUGAGUCCCACAUCGGGCUCCCUGUGGGGAGCCUGCUUCUCCCUCUGCCUGUGUCUCUGCUCUCUCUCUCUCAUGAAUAAAAAAAUCUUUAAAAAAGAAAAAAACAAAAGUUUAGAGUUAAUUCAGAUCUUUCCAAGAGGCUUUCAGAAUUAGAAAACUAGGCCAAACAAAAGCAGACACAUAGAUCAAUGGAACAAAAUAGAGAAUCCAGAAGUGGACCCUCAACUUUAUGGUCAACUAAUAUUUGACAAAGGAGGAAAGACUAUCCACUGGAAAAAAGACAGUCUCUUCAAUAAAUGGUGCUGGGAAAAUUGGACAUCCACAUGCAGAAGAAUGAAACUAGACCACUCUCUUGCACCAUACACAAAGAUAAACUCAAAAUGUGAGACAAGAUUCCAUCAAAAUCCUAGAGGAGAACACAGGCAACACCCUUUUUGAACUCGGCCACAGUAACUUCUUGCAAGAUACAUCCAUGAAGGCAAGAGAAACAAAAGCAAAAAUGAACUAUUGGGACUUCAUCAAGAUAUGAAGCUUCUGCACAGCAAAAGAUACAGUCAAC